CAGUCGCCGCGGUAAUACGAAGGGGGCUAGCGUUGUUCGGAGUUACUGGGCGUAAAGGGCGCGUAGGCGGCCAUUCAAGUUAGAUGUGAAAGCCCUGGGCUCAACCUAGGAAUUGCAUUUGAUACUGUUUGGCUUGAGUUCGGGAGAGGUGAGUGGAAUUCCGAGUGUAGAGGUGAAAUUCGUAGAUACUCGGAAGAACACCAGUGGCGAAGGCGGCUCACUGGCUCAUUCUAGACGCUGAGGUGCGAAAGCGUGGGGAGCAAACAGGAUUAGAUACCCCAGUAGUCCCUGUCUCUUAUAA
RNAcentral lists this ribosomal RNA (301 nucleotides) under uncultured bacterium. RNAcentral describes it as "partial 16S ribosomal RNA". It matches the Rfam family "Bacterial small subunit ribosomal RNA", at positions 509 to 809 of the family's 1533-position model. The record is from RNAcentral.